This 431-nucleotide ribosomal RNA is filed under the name uncultured soil bacterium. RNAcentral describes it as "bacterial SSU rRNA". It matches the Rfam family "Bacterial small subunit ribosomal RNA", at positions 26 to 510 of the family's 1533-position model. The record is from RNAcentral.
AGAACGAACGCUGGCGGCAUGCCUAAUACAUGCAAGUCGAACGAACUCUUCGGAGUUAGUGGCGCACGGGUGCGUAACGCGUGGGAAUCUGCCCCUUGGUUCGGAAUAACAGUUGGAAACGACUGCUAAUACCGGAUGAUGACGAAAGUCCAAAGAUUUAUCGCCAAGGGAUGAGCCCGCGUAGGAUUAGCUAGUUGGUGAGGUAAAGGCUCACCAAGGCAACGAUCCUUAGCUGGUCUGAGAGGAUGAUCAGCCACACUGGGACUGAGACACGGCCCAGACUCCUACGGGAGCAGCAGUAGGGAAUAUGGACAAUGGGCGAAAGCCUGAUCCAGCAAUGCCGCGUGAGUGAUGAAGGCCUUAGGUUGUAAAGCUCUUUACCGAGAUGAUAAUGACAGUAUCGGAGAAUAAGCCCCGAUAACCGUCCGUCG